GAUGAAGAACGUAGUGAAAUGCGAUAAGUAAUGUGAAUUGCAGAAUUCAGUGAAUCAUCGAAUCUUUGAAUGCACAUUGCGCCCGGCAGUACUCUGCCGGGCAUGCCUGUUCGAGCGUCAUUUCAACCCUCAAGCCCUGCUUGGUGUUGGGGUCCCACGGCCGCCGUGGGCCCUGAAAGGAAGUGGCGGGCUCGCUACAACUCCGAGCGUAGUAAUUCAUUAUCUCGCUUAGGGCGUUGGGCGGCGCUCCUGCCGUUAAAGAACCAUCUUUAACUCAAGGUUGACCUCGGAUCAGGUAGGAAUACCCGCUGAACUUAAGCAUAUCAAUAAGCGGAGGA
RNAcentral lists this unclassified non-coding RNA (338 nucleotides) under soil metagenome. RNAcentral's name for it is "partial contains 5.8S ribosomal RNA, internal transcribed spacer 2, and large subunit ribosomal RNA". The stretch from base 1 to 120 matches the Rfam family "5.8S ribosomal RNA", at positions 35 to 154 of the family's 154-position model. The record is from RNAcentral.